GGUUAAGCUACUAAGGGCGUACGGUGGAUGCCUAGGCGCCAAGAGCCGAUGAAGGACGUGGCACACUGCGAUAAGCCUCGGGGAGCCGUGUGCAGGCGCUAAUACCCGGGGAUCUCCGAAUGGGGAAACCCGCCUGGGGGAAUGCCCAGGCACCCCCAGCUGAACACAUAGGCUGGGUGGAGGGCACGCGGGGAACUGAAACAUCUUAGUACCCGCAGGAAAAGAAAUCAACACCCGGUUGAUAAGGCCGGGCACCGCUGCUGAGGGCGGCGGUGGAGAUUCCCUGAGUAGUGGCGAGCGAAAGGGGAACAGCCCAAACCCGUCACGUGCCAAAGGCCGCAGCCGUUGCGUGGCGGGGGUUGCAGGACAACAGCGGAGACCGCUGCGGAGGUCUCAGGGAGUUACAAAUCCGCCCUCUAGCGGAAAGGUCCUGGAAAGGCCUACCAUAGAGGGUGAUAGUCCCGUACGCGAAAGGGGGCGGACUCC
Molecule: ribosomal RNA, 486 nt
Filed under: Chloroflexota bacterium
Lineage: Bacteria; Bacillati; Chloroflexota
Description: bacterial LSU rRNA
Rfam family: Bacterial large subunit ribosomal RNA
Source: RNAcentral